UUCACACCAAUAGAUUUGAACAGUUGUGGAUGCCUCAACGGAAGCUCAACAAGCUCGCGGAUCUGAGCCAUUUGUUUACGCACGCCACCAAUGUCAUCAUAACCAACCUCAUCUAACCGAUUCUCAUCUUCUCUGUUUACAGGUUCACCCUCACAGAAUAUCUCAGUAUCUGGGGCGACAACACAAUAUUCAGCUGGAUCAGUUUCAAUAACCUUGAAUUCUACACUUCUCAUUCCUCCUCUUACAAGAAAUAG
RNAcentral lists this unclassified non-coding RNA (254 nucleotides) under Hevea brasiliensis (rubber tree). The record is from RNAcentral. Lineage: Eukaryota; Viridiplantae; Streptophyta; Magnoliopsida; Malpighiales; Euphorbiaceae.